Molecule: long non-coding RNA, 1647 nt
Organism: Musa acuminata subsp. malaccensis (wild Malaysian banana)
Lineage: Eukaryota; Viridiplantae; Streptophyta; Magnoliopsida; Zingiberales; Musaceae
Source: RefSeq, a predicted model, not a curated record
GUUCAGAUCAUGGCUAAAGGAAACAGACACCUCUUCUUUUGAUCUCCCAGCCAAUUGAGGCGAUGCUCCAUGACAAGUCCUGCGUGAGAUGAUAUGGUUACGUAACGGGUUCUUGCUUCGUAGGCCGCUUAGGUUAUGAUGCGGCAGUCAGAUUUGGUCUUCGGCCUUGACGUGAAGGUCAGAUGCUCGACAAAAUGUGGCUGAAGUAAGUGGGAAUCCAGUAAAGGAAUUGGAGUUGUGACUUGAAACAGCGGGAUGAAAGAAUGCUGUGAAGCUGAGAAUUUCGGAACUAGUUGUGAUUAUUUUUAGUCUGUGUAGCAGAACGAUCGAAAUUAUAGCUGAGUCAUGGGCUGGACUUCGCAGCACUGUUCUUAAUGGCUUUGUUCAGGCAGUGUCGAUGAGUGGAUUUCUUCUCCAAAGUAGGCUGAGGAGAACCAUGAUUUCUGCGCAUUGAACAACUCAAGUAUGUUGUUGUUACCUUCCAUUACACUUGGAGCUCAUGGUUGGACCUGUUCCAUUUUGCAGCUUAGAAAAUGCUUCAGAAGGAAAGAAUAGUCAACUGGGAUUUGGAACUUGGAACUUGAAGGUGACUAUUUUGUCUUGCCUGGUGCUUACUUGAUGGCUCCAGGAUCCACAUUCUCAUCCAAUCAGGAAGUGACAAAUCAGCAGGGAUAAUGCACCUGUGCCCUGUCACAGUUGUGCCUGCUUGUUGAGUGCAAUUACUUGACAUAUUACUUCAGAAUGGACAACUAGAUGGUGCAUUUUUUUCCAGAUAUGUUCAGUCUCUCAAUCAUAUUUAAUUGAGUCUGCACUAUUUUGUUCUUGAGUGCCUCAGCAAAUGAAUAGGACCAGAAUCAUUAUAUUCCCAGUCAAGUAUCUCUUUUCUUCCUUUUGUUUUUGUUUCUGUUUUUUUUUUUCUCAAAUGAAGACAUAAGUUGAGCUGUAUUUGUCUUCCAACACUCGACUUGAUGUAAAACCAACUAUAUUGUAUAAAUUUAGCUAAAACUAAUAAACAAGCGUCGCCAAAAGAUGGAGUUGUAGUGCACAAUUAGCUCUUUUGUUCUUCCCUACACUUUAUCCUCACUUAUAAAUGACGUGUCCCAAUAGUCUUUUGUUUCUCUUUAGUUCUUGCCAAGCAUCCAGGAUAAUAUUAUAGGAUAAUAUUAUGAUGAUCCUAGAGGUUGCUCAUUCCAUAUAUAAGACCAAGGGGAAAAAAUCCUUUAGUCAUCAUUAAAGUUGACUUAGAAAAGGUUUAUGAUAGAUUGUCAUGGAAUGUCAUUGACAAUGUGUUGAGGGCUUUUAACUUUCCUGAGGUUUUUGUUUCCUGAAUUUAUGCUUGUGUCUACUCCUGAGCAUGCAUGUUUGAUUAAUGGAUCUCCUUCCCAUUUUUUCAAAUAUGCUCAAGGUAUUAGACAAGGCGAUCCACCUUCACCUUAUCACCUUAUCUUUAUAUCUUAGUGGCACAAUUGUUGUCCCAUUAAUUGGACAAGGCUACUCUAGAUGACAAAAGCUUAUCCCUUUUGACUUCAAGCACAAGUAUAAGCUUACUCACAUGAUGUAUGCUGAUGACAUAAUUCUGUGUUUUAGAGCAAACAAAAAGUCUUGCAGAACUAUUAUUGAAAAUUUUUGGGAUUAUGAAUUUUUUAC